UCACUUUCAACAACGGAUCUCUUGGCUCUCGCAUCGAUGAAGAACGUACCGAAGUGCGAUAAGUAAUGUGAAUUGCAGAAUUCCGUGAAUCAUCGAAUCUUUGAACGCAAAUUGCGCUCUCUGGCAACCCGGGGAGUAUGCCUGUUUGAGGGUCAGU
This 157-nucleotide ribosomal RNA is filed under the name uncultured Glomus. RNAcentral's name for it is "5.8S ribosomal RNA". It matches the Rfam family "5.8S ribosomal RNA". Rfam says of the family: 5.8S ribosomal RNA (5.8S rRNA) is a component of the large subunit of the eukaryotic ribosome. It is transcribed by RNA polymerase I as part of the 45S precursor that also contains 18S and 28S rRNA. Functionally, it is thought that 5.8S rRNA may be involved in ribosome translocation. The record is from RNAcentral. Lineage: Eukaryota; Fungi; Glomeromycota; Glomeromycetes; Glomerales; Glomeraceae.